This 389-nucleotide ribosomal RNA is filed under the name uncultured bacterium. RNAcentral describes it as "bacterial SSU rRNA". It matches the Rfam family "Bacterial small subunit ribosomal RNA", at positions 8 to 416 of the family's 1533-position model. The record is from RNAcentral.
AGAGUUUGAUCCUGGCUCAGGAUGAACGCUGGCGGUAUGCCUAACACAUGCAAGUCGUACGAGAGUUUUUAACUCUAGUGGCGGACGGGUGAGUAACACGUAAGAAUUUACCUUCAGGAGGGGGAUAACGAUUGGAAACAAAUGCUAAUACCCCAUAUGCUUUCGAGUGAAAUGGAUUUAUAUUUAUCCGCCUAAAGAGAAGCUUGCGUCUGAUUAGCUUGUUGGUAAGGUAAAAGCUUACCAAGGCGACGAUCAGUAUCUGGUUUGAGAGGACGAUCAGACACACUGGAACUGAGACACGGUCCAGACUCCUACGGGAGGCAGCAGUGGGGAAUUUUCCGCAAUGGGCGAAAGCCUGACGGAGCAAUACCGCGUGAGGGAAGACUGCC